RNAcentral lists this ribosomal RNA (169 nucleotides) under uncultured bacterium. RNAcentral's name for it is "partial 16S rRNA". It matches the Rfam family "Bacterial small subunit ribosomal RNA", at positions 338 to 524 of the family's 1533-position model. The record is from RNAcentral.
CCUACGGGAGGCAGCAGUGGGGAAUUUUGCGCAAUGGGGGAAACCCUGACGCAGCAACGCCGCGUGGAGGAUGAAGUCCCUUGGGACGUAAACUCCUUUCGACCGGGAAGAUACUGACGGUNCNNGAUGAAGAAGCACCGGCUAACUCUGUGCCAGCAGCCGCGGUAAU